CCUACGGGAGGCAGCAGUGGGGAAUAUUGCACAAUGGGGGAAACCCUGAUGCAGCGACGCCGCGUGGGUGAAGAAGUAUUUCGGUAUGUAAAGCCCUAUCAGCAGGGAAGAAAGAAGACGGUACCUGACUAAGACGCCCCGGCUAACUACGUGCCAGCAGCCGCGGUAAUACGUAGGGGGCGAGCGUUAUCCGGAUUCACUGGGUGUAAAGGGAGCGUAGACGGCCGUGCAAGCCAGGAGUGAAAGCCCGGGGCCCAACCCCGGGACUGCUCUUGGAACUGUGCGGCUGGAGUGCGGGAGGGGCAGGCGGAAUUCCUGGUGUAGCGGUGAAAUGCGGAGAUAUCAGGAGGAACACCGGCGGCGAAGGCGGCCUGCUGGACCGCGACUGACGUUGAGGCUCGAAAGCGUGGGGAGCGAACAGGAUUAGAUACCCCUGUAGUC
This 441-nucleotide ribosomal RNA is filed under the name uncultured bacterium. RNAcentral describes it as "partial 16S ribosomal RNA". It matches the Rfam family "Bacterial small subunit ribosomal RNA", at positions 338 to 795 of the family's 1533-position model. The record is from RNAcentral.